UCGGAAUUACUGGGCGUAAAGCGUGCGUAGGCGGAAUGGUAAGUCAGAUGUGAAAUCCCGGGGCUCAACCUCGGAACUGCAUCCGAUACUGCCAAUCUAGAGUAGUGGAGGGGAGUCUGGAAUUCACGGUGUAGCAGUGAAAUGCGUAGAUAUCGUGAGGAACACUAGUGGCGAAGGCGAGACUCUGGACACUAACUGACGCUGAGGCACGAAGGCUAGGGUAGCGAAAGGGAUUAGAUACCCCUGUAGUCCUAGCAGUAAACGGUGUGCGUUUGGUGUGGGCGGGUUCGACCCCGUCCGUGCCGAAGCUAACGCGUUAAACGCACCGCCUGGGGAGUACGGCCGCAAGGCUAAAACUCAAAGAAAUUGACGGGGACCCGCACAAGCGGUGGAGUAUGUGGCUUAAUUCGAUGCAACGCGAAGAACCUUACCUAGGCUUGACAUGCUUGUCGUAGUUCUGUGAAAGCAGAUCGUCAGUUCGGCUGGACAUGCACAGGUGCUGCAUGGCUGUCGUCAGCUCGUGUCGUGAGAUGUUGGGUUAAGUCCCGCAACGAGCGCAACCCCUAUGAUUAGUUGCCAGCAAGUAAUGUUGGGGACUCUAGUCAGACUGCCUGUAUUAAACAGGAGGAAGGUGGGGACGACGUCAAGUCAGUAUGGCCCUUACGCCUAGGGCUGCACACGUACUACAAUGCUCAGUACAAUGUGAACCGAUACCGCAAGGUGGAGGAAAUCCUGAAAACUGAGCUCAGUUCGGAUUGUGGGCUGCAACUCGCCCACAUGAAGCUGGAAUCGCUAGUAAUGGCACAUCAGCUACGGUGCCGUGAAUACGUUCCCGGGUCUUGUACACACCGCCCGUCACAUCA
Molecule: ribosomal RNA, 863 nt
Filed under: marine metagenome
Description: bacterial SSU rRNA
Rfam family: Bacterial small subunit ribosomal RNA
Source: RNAcentral